This is a long non-coding RNA of Brachypodium distachyon (stiff brome), 2657 nucleotides long. RefSeq lists it as uncharacterized. The record is from RefSeq and is a predicted model, not a curated record. Lineage: Eukaryota; Viridiplantae; Streptophyta; Magnoliopsida; Poales; Poaceae. The transcript has 2 exons.
CGGGCGAAUUUCAAUCGAUGCCACUGUGCCUCUCUUCCCUGCCCCCAAAGAAAGAAAAAGAAAAUAUCAGACCCGAAUCGAUCCCCUUCUCCUCACUGAGCUGCCGCCGCCACUCCAAACCCUCCUCGUCAACAAGCUGCCGGCCCUCUGCCCCUCCCCAUAGCUGCACCGCCUCCUCUCUCCAUCCGCUCGCUGCCUCUUCUCCCAGAGCUCCAGAAGCCGAAGCUAGCACGGCGGCCGUGGCAGCGUAGCGAGACGGCGGCGGAGCGGCAGUAGAUUUGGGCACACGCGACCAUGUUGAGCUGGAGGCUUGGGUGGACUGAGUGGCCCAUAGUGCAAUUGCACGUCGAGCUCCAUGGCAACCGCCGAACGCGAAGCUCCAUGGCAACCUCUGAAAGUUGGGCGUGACGCCGGACGUGGAAUUCAAGGAUGCCGGCUUGCCCAGGCGCUUGAUCCGUUCUACCAUGGCUGACGCCCUGUUACGCGGUUUCGUCCUGGAUGCCGUGCCAUAUUGCUUGAGGAUGGACACCUGUUGCGAAAGAGGGAGGUUUCUGCCUUUCUUGACGCCCUCAAGUUGCUCGAAGAAAUGCACAAGAGGGAGACUUUCAAGACGAUGGCCCAGAUUUUCACCAUGCUGACAUAUGGAGCUCGUGCACGUGGCUUGUUUGAUGAAAUGGAGUUGUGCGUAGUGAUUCCAAACCAUGGAGCUCACAAUUUGCUCACAGGGGCCUAUGUAUUGUGAGGGCAAGGUAUUUCCAGUUUGAAUGACGGUGAUGUUCUGAGAUGGAUCACAGGGGAAUUGGUAUGGUCAAUGUUACCUACAACACUAUGUUGUGUGAGUUUCAUAGGGUUGAUUACUUCGAGAGCAUCUAGAAGGAUAUAUAUGAAGACUAUUUGCUCAGGGCUCGUGCCAAGGACCAGGAUGACAAUGUUGCUCGUGAAGGUCUUCUGCUUAUUGCUGGGUUUUUUCUUUUCUUCCGAAAGGAGUCUCUAACUGUCUAUUGAGGAGGUAACUUGUCCUUUCCUUCCUCAUGUCAGAUUAGAUUACACUAACAUUUUUUUUGCACCUCAACAAAGAUGUCAGGUGUUUGUAUUUAUGUUCAUCAGGUGAUUCAUCCAAACGCUCAUCUCCGAAGUACAAGAUCUAUUUAUUUUAUAUUCUUUCCUGUAUAUGAUAUGUAUCUUUGCUUUUGUAGAAUAAAAAAGCAGGAAGGUAGUAAAAUGAUGGUUUUAUACAUGAUAGAUUUCAUAUAGAGGGUGCAAGAGCUACACUUAAACUUGGUAGCAGAAAGCUUAGGUUAUACUAUCUUGUUAGAGUUUUGCCUUAAAAAAAACCAAGUAUGUUACCAUGAAUCCAAAAUUUCUUUCAAGGGUAAGUUUUCUUGAUUGCUUUUUCGAUACAAAUGUUGAUAAGAGGGUACCUGCCUUUUCUAUAAUUUGUCAUACGCUUGUUCUCUUUCACUCUAUCAUUUGUUCAUCAUAAGAGUAUUAUAUUUUGAAGUCCUCGAUCAGGCUGUGAGCUACUCAAGAAUAGAGGCAAGUCGAUCAAAUAGAUCUCUCAUUAUACUUUUUACCUUGUUUUUCCUGCAAGUAACUCAAUUUUUUUUGUGUGUUGAUGUAGGCUUUUAGUUUGUAUAAGAGAAGUUUUACAAUGCCCUUUGAAACUUGCCUUUUUCCUUCUUUUCUUUUCGGAAAAAAGAAUAGUUGUUAUGGAUGUACAUUCGUCAUUGUUCAUCGUAGCAAAGUAUGGACAUAAAACAAAAUUUGAAUAGUUUAGUGCUACAAUUUAAUGUGAAGUUUGCCUGCGUGUUACUACAUAAUAGCAAAAUGGAACGGUUUGUCAACUAUGUUUUGAAAAAGAAAAAUCAGUCGCUGAAUGAACGUGCUUAACCUGUAUUUGACACUAGCGUGAUCGUAACAAGGCAUUUCUUCUGCUGAAUGAAUAUGAAUCUCAAGGAACCAAUUAUGACUGAUUUAUUAAAGUUAAUUCAUUGAUUUGGGUUUUAUCCAUGGAUUGUGCACUGCCCAUAUUAUAGAUUAAGCUCCUAGACUGGUCGGACUGGAUGUCUUAGAUUGUUUCUAAUUAUUACUUUUACAAAAAUAUACUGCAGUACUGAUCAGCCGACAUGUAUAAAUAACUGUGGUGUGUUGACCCUCUUAGUCAGGAUGGUAUGGACAGUGGGCAGUCAAGAAGGCAUCUCAGUUUAACAUCAAGAAAGGACGACAUUAAUUAUUUUUAUGGAAUCUAAUUGCCAGGCAGUCACAUGUAUUGUAUGUUUUAGUAGAAGAAAACAAAGACCAUAUUAUGUGAAAUUACAAUCGUGAGCCUUGGAAUAUUACAAAAAGUUCAGUGCAUAUGUGUUUAUCAAAUUAUGAGGAAAAGUACAGUAUCGCAAAAUCCAAUUUUUUUUUUCUGUUUUUGAAGCAAUGUUCGACAUCCAGUUUUUCUAUUUUUGGAUCAAUGUUCAACAUCCAAUUUUUUUUCUGUUUUUCUGCUGUUGUUGAGAAGGUGCUAUUCAAGGUCAGAAUGGUAGAGUGCUUCUAAAGUCAUAUAUUGUCCAUGUAAAGAUUAUGGUAACAAGGCAUAAAAGUAGUUCAUUGUUGCUAAGUCGUCAUAUGUAGACAGUUUAAACCGCUAGAUAAAAUAAUCAUGCUUC